CCCUUAGAUGUUCGGGGCCGCACGCGCGCUACACUGAUGCAUUCAACGAGCCUAUCCUUGACCGACAGGUCCGGGUAAUCUUUGAAUCUGCAUCGUGACGGGGAUAGAUUAUUGCAAUUAUUAAUCUUCAACGAGGAAUGCCUAGUAGGCGCAAGUCAUCAGCUUGCGUCGAUUACGUCCCUGCCCUUUGUACACACCGCCCGUCGCUCCUACCGAUUGGGUGUGCUGGUGAAAUGUUCGGAUCGGCCGUUUGUCGCGGUUUCCGCGGCUCGUGGCUGAGAAGUUCAUUAAACCCUCCCACCUAGAGGAAGGAGAAGUCGUAACA
RNAcentral lists this ribosomal RNA (325 nucleotides) under uncultured eukaryote. RNAcentral's name for it is "partial 18S ribosomal RNA". It matches the Rfam family "Eukaryotic small subunit ribosomal RNA", at positions 1470 to 1796 of the family's 1831-position model. The record is from RNAcentral.